Molecule: ribosomal RNA, 115 nt
Filed under: Alphaproteobacteria bacterium HT1-32
Lineage: Bacteria; Pseudomonadati; Pseudomonadota; Alphaproteobacteria
Source: RNAcentral
CCUGGUGGCUAUGGCGAGGGGCCUGCACCCGAUCCCAUCCCGAACUCGGAAGUGAAAACCCUCAGCGCCAAUGGUACUGCAUCUUAAGGUGUGGGAGAGUAGGUCGCCGCCAGGC